Molecule: long non-coding RNA, 253 nt
Organism: Dermochelys coriacea (leatherback sea turtle)
Lineage: Eukaryota; Metazoa; Chordata; Testudines; Dermochelyidae
Exons: 3
Source: RefSeq, a predicted model, not a curated record
GUUAGAACUUUUUUAAAUGGGAAAGAAACUUUACCUUUGUCUGUUCUCUUGGCUGCAGGGAGAGCAGCAAUGCUGUGUAAGGUUUGAACCAGCACAGAUACCUCUUAACAAUGACCCUGCGUGGGAAUGGUCAUCUGAGUAGCAAAAUUCCUAGGAAAUUAGAAGAGGUAACUUGCCUUGUAAGAAAUCCUGGCACAGGGCACUAGUGGCAGAAAUAGAAGUACUGUCCUUAUUUACAGCAUAUUGCAUAGGC